GUGAAUAACGUAGCGAAAUGCGAUACUUGGUGUGAAUUGCAGAAUCCCGUGAACCAUCGAGUCUUUGAACGCAAGUUGCGCCCGAAGCCAUUAGGCCGAGGGCACGCCUGCCUGGGCGUCACACGUCGUUGCCCCCCCCAUCUACUCCUUCGGGAUUGCGGGGGGCGGAUGAUGGCCUCCCGUGCGCCUCGCCGCGCGGUUGGCAUAAAUGCCAAGUCCUCGGCGACGCACGCCACGACAAUCGGUGGUUGCGAAACCUCGGUUGCCCGUCGUGUGCGGUCGUCGCGCAUCGAGGGCUCGAAAAAAUUGCCGAGUUCCGGCUCGGCUUUCAACGCGACCCCAGGUCAGGCGGGGUUACCCGCUGAAUUUAAGCAUAUCAAUAAGCGGAGGA
Molecule: unclassified non-coding RNA, 391 nt
Filed under: soil metagenome
Description: partial contains 5.8S ribosomal RNA, internal transcribed spacer 2, and large subunit ribosomal RNA
Rfam family: 5.8S ribosomal RNA (bases 2-121)
Source: RNAcentral